Molecule: long non-coding RNA, 1377 nt
Filed under: Strigops habroptila (Kakapo)
Lineage: Eukaryota; Metazoa; Chordata; Aves; Psittaciformes; Psittacidae
Description: lncRNA (ENSSHBG00005013145.1)
Source: RNAcentral
CCCUUUCCAAGCUGUCCCUCCAGCUCCCCAUCGGCAUCCUGGCACCACAUCCCUAUGGCAUCACCAGGACCUCAUGGCAUAUGGGGUCCCCAGGCAUCGUGGGGUUCCCAUGGCAUUGUGGGGACCCAAUGGCAUCACCGGGUCCCUGUGACAUCAUGGGGUCCCUGUGGGGUCCCUGCAGCAUCGGAUACUCUUGGACCUGUGGCUGUUUGUCUGCUGCUGAUGUGCAAAGGGACCAGCCUGGCUGUCCUUGGGGAUGGGCUUGUGGCCACCACGUUCUCACAGUGGCAAAUACAGGGAUGGGGACAGGGGUGGGACAGAGCAGGAGCACAAAGACAGCUUGGACAGAGACAGCCACAAAUCAGGGCCUUGGCCGGAGCUGCUGCCCCAUCCGCUGCUGGACAGGAUGAGCUGGAGCGAUGCCGGGAGACACAAGAGCCUCUGGGCACCCAUCCCUCUGGGAGGCACCGCCAGCGUGGAGGGGUCUCUGCUUCUCACCAUGGAGCUGGAGCAUCCCAGGGCAGCACACGGGGCGUUUAUCCCCAUCUCUCCCCUUUUCUCCUUGCUCAGCCCUGGCUCCAGCACAAGCUCAGCUUUGUCCCGCUCCCUGAGGGCGCUGCCAGCCCUCUCCUGCCCCCAGGGCUCCAGGGGGACCCUGCACCCCCCAUUUCAGCCACCCAUCACUCGCUGAGCCCAUGCUCUUCCUCAGUGUUAAUUAAACCCUUGCUCCUCCUCCUGGCCAGCCUCCUCCAUCACGCUCUCUGCACUAAUUGCUCCCUGUUAUUCUGUUUUCCAUCGAGGCUUCUGCUCCCCGUUGGCUCCUGGCACAGCCCGUGCCUCCCACGCUGGCUCCCUGGCACGGCACUGCAUGGCACUGCAUGGCACGGCACACACCACUGCCCGGCACCCCUGCCAGCCCUCUCACCUCGGCACCUCCACCAGCCAUUUCCCACCUCCCCGGGCAUCCCCCGGCCCUUCCCCAGCUCCUGCUUCCUGCUCAAACAGCCCUUUCCUUGGCUUUGCCAUCCCACGAGGUCCCGGCACUGAGCUCACACACCACGUGGAGGAAAAGCCCAGCUAAAGCUUCACAACACCCAUGUACCGGGAGCUUCCUACCGCGGCAGGGGCUGCUUUGCCAGGACACACCAACACAGCCUCACCCACAUUCUUGCCCUGGCACGGCACCACUCCAGCAUGUUCAUGGAUGCGUCCAGUGCGGGGAUACAGCCCAAAACCCAGCUGGAGCUGGUGUGUCCCCUCCCCGGCUGGGGCGCUGAGCCCCACCAUCCAUCCAUCCAUCCAUCCAUCCAUCCAUCCAUCCAUCCAUCCAUCCACCGGCUCCGCACCACGGGCAGGAGCAGCCUGGUGGGUACCAGC